This is a non-coding RNA of Gasterosteus aculeatus aculeatus (three-spined stickleback), 1920 nucleotides long. The record is from RefSeq and is a predicted model, not a curated record. Lineage: Eukaryota; Metazoa; Chordata; Actinopteri; Perciformes; Gasterosteidae.
GAGAGACAAACGCACUGAGAGACACCGGUAGAUGGUCAGCGUGGCAGUCUGGAUGAACAUCUGUAGAGAGGCGAAGAGACAUUUAUUGAGAAAGAACCUCACCAGCAGGAGCACUUCUUCAAUGACACCAGAACCACCUACAGAAGAAGUCACCAACCACCAUCUGCGUCAGCAAGCAUGUCUACACAAGAGCCACCUACAGGACCCAGAAGACCUCUUCAACGACACUUUGCAGUACCAAAAAAGAUUGGUACAAAGGCCAUCCAGAUGACGCAAGUGGUGUACAUGGUGAAUCCAAUUGGCUUGGCCUCGUUGAACGUCUCCGGAACACCUCGACUUUUCACAGCGUACACCGUGCACGUCACCUAGCAACAAAAAUAGCACAAGUUACCUAGCAACAAAGCCAGGACAGGCUUUUUACAACGCUCACCUUACCUAACACCUUACCAUAAGUACGAUACUGUAGCUGAGGCAACAGAUGAUUGACAGGUCAGACAUGUCACAUUUCAGAAUGCCUCGGGCCAGAUCCGGGUUGGGGGGGCGGAGCUCCUCGUAGUCGAUGAUGGUGUGAGGAGGGACGACGCCGAACCACACAAACACCCCGAGGACCUGAAAGACGAGUGUUGACGGAUGAAGCAGGGCCAUGUCACAAGCUGUGGGACAGACGGUAGUCUGAGACCCGUGUUCUCACCUGGACUGAGAUGAGGAUGAAGGUAAUGAUGAGCUGUGAGGUGGGGCUGAUGAACUUGGGUGGGGUCACCGACCUCUUUCCCUGUUCGAAGAUGCGGUAGAUGCGGUUGGUUUUGGUCAACAUGGCAGAGUAGGUAAUGGCCAUGCCGAGGCCCAACAGGAGGCGACGGAACGCACAAGCCACCGCACCGGGCUCCGCGAUCAUCAGGAAAGUGAUCAGGUAGAUCAGGAAGAUCCCUGCAGAGAGGGGGGCAGGUAGUCAGCCUCACGGCUGGGAUUUAUUCUCCUGGGGGGAGAUGAACACUGAUUCCAUCAAAGACAAGCUUGCAGCCUGGAACUGCCCCGAUGCCCAAAUCACCUUCACCACCAGAAUUGAGGGAGUUCUCACUACCAUCACCUCACCUCUUCUUGGAACCUCCAAGCAUGGCCACAUCCUGCCCAUCAGUGACCAGGAGGGUUCUAGUGAGCAGAGCCCUGGAUCCACAAAACAGCUUUGUUCACCUCAUCCAGACAUCUGGUCCUCCAGGAAUACUUUGGGCUGAAACUGACCCUGCCAUGCCGUGAGUAUGUAUCCUUUCCUUUACCAGUAGGGUCCCUGGCACAAAGCUCACUGCAACAUUACUCUGUGUUUCGUAGACCAGGUAACUUUGAUUUAACCGAGACACACUGAAUCAAACAAUAUGUUUAAUAGGGAUCUUUUUCUGUCCCUUGGUCAUCCGUCCUCUACCAACUGCAAUAAGACUGUAGAACAAAACACCUCUGACUACGCGGAUGACUACUUGUUUGAACGCUAUCGUUUUUAUUCACUGUCCAUCAAAUAUGUCCAUGACCUCAGCCGUUCUCACAGAAGUAACGUCCCCAUGGUGGACGUGCUCUCACAUACGAGCACAUUCUUUGUGUAGUAUCACGUGUUUUCCUUUACAACAUUAGAAUAUCAGUAAAGCUGCUGCAUGCAGAGCCGUGAGAAACGUCUUUUAAACCUUUUUGUUGGACACAAACCAGUGAGACGUUAAAGAGGAGUUCAGCAGGACGCACCUGAAGGACACAUUACAGGUCCAACACCAUCGAACCAGCUUAUACCAGCCAUAUUAUUCUAAAUAUGAGCAUGUGUGUGUAUUUCCAGCCUGUGUGUAGUGUAUUCUACCAAACAGUGUAAAAACUGGGAAUUAGUAAAACGUAUGGAUUAUGAUUAGUGUGUACAUUAAAUAUUAACACUAUAUUGGAACAUAA